CAGUCGCCGCGGUAAUACGAAGGGUGCAAGCGUUAAUCGGAAUUACUGGGCGUAAAGCGUGCGUAGGCGGUGAGUUAAGUCUGCUGUGAAAUCCCCGGGCUCAACCUGGGAAUGGCAGUGGAUACUGGCUCGCUAGAGUGUGUCAGAGGAUGGUGGAAUUCCCGGUGUAGCGGUGAAAUGCGUAGAGAUCGGGAGGAACAUCAGUGGCGAAGGCGGCCAUCUGGGACAACACUGACGCUGAGGCACGAAAGCGUGAGGAGCAAACAGGAUUAGAUACCCCCGUAGUCCCUGUCUCUUAUAC
Molecule: ribosomal RNA, 301 nt
Filed under: uncultured bacterium
Lineage: Bacteria
Description: partial 16S ribosomal RNA
Rfam family: Bacterial small subunit ribosomal RNA
Source: RNAcentral